UCCGAUUUGUCACCGGCAGUCUCCCUAGAGUCCCCGGCAUUAUCCGCUGGCAACUAGGGACAGGGGUUGCGCUCGUUGCGGGACUUAACCCAACAUCUCACGACACGAGCUGACGACAGCCACGCACCACCUGUGCACCUGCCCCGAAGGGCUGCCGUGUUUCCACGACAUUCAGGUGCGUGUCAAGACCUGGUAAGGUUCUUCGCGUUGCGUCGAAUUAAACCACAUGCUCCACCGCUUGUGCGGGCCCCCGUCAAUUCCUUUGAGUUUCAGCCUUGCGGCCGUACUCCCCAGGCGGGGCACUUAAUGCGUUAGCGCCGGCACCCAGGGGGUCGCUCCCCCAGGCACCUAGUGCCCAUCGUUUACGGCGUGGACUAC
RNAcentral lists this unclassified non-coding RNA (378 nucleotides) under uncultured bacterium. RNAcentral describes it as "contains 16S-23S intergenic spacer region". The record is from RNAcentral.